UCAAUCGUUCUCUAGGGUUCCGCGAAAGAUGAUAUUUCAGUCGGUCAGGUCCAAGAGAGAACGCACAGCUGAGCUGUGUACACGGAGGGAUAAAAGCCCGGGAGGA
This 106-nucleotide small RNA is filed under the name Tumebacillus algifaecis. RNAcentral describes it as "Guanidine-I sequence". It matches the Rfam family "Guanidine-I riboswitch aptamer". From Rfam's summary of the family: This family represents a conserved RNA structure found upstream of the ykkC and yxkD genes in Bacillus subtilis and related genes in other bacteria. The function of this family is unclear although it has been suggested that it may function to switch on efflux pumps and detoxification systems in response to harmful environmental molecules. Lineage: Bacteria; Bacillati; Bacillota; Bacilli; Caryophanales; Alicyclobacillaceae. The record is from Rfam by way of RNAcentral.